CGAUCUGUCUGUCUCAAGUCUCUCUCUCUUCUGUCUGUCUCAACUCUCUCUCUCCGUCUCUCUCUCUCAAGUCUCUCUCCGUCACUUGGCGUACUUUCUUCUUAAUCUGAGUUUCGACACUCAUCUCAGAUUCGACAAUCUCAGGUAGACGAGAACCAACGGAGACAGCAAGCCAUCCAAUCGUAAGACAACGCGAGAACAAGGCACAAACACGGAACCAACGGAGACAGGAAAUCAACCAUCGUAUGGAAAAGAAACGGGAGCAUAAGGUUCGAAAAGGAUAAGGUUUUGUGGGGGUUCUGAAUCUGUCUUUUUGAAUGGAAGCUAAGAUGUCGCCAGUGGUCCGGAGAAUGACUGCUUUUGCAUUGGCUUCUGCUUCAGGUCUGCUUCAAACUCAUCCCCUGGGGAAAGGUACUCUGAACAAUUUCUUGCAUUGUUCCUCUGUUUUAAGCUAUCAGAGAUCGACUUUUUCCGGUGUUAGAGACCGCAGUAUGUCAUACAGAGACAGAUUGAGAUGUGGGUUUCAUGAUUGUCAUGCUGAGGACGCUGUUGAUUUGUUCGAUCAGAUGGUUCAGUCUCGUCCCUUACCUUCCAUCGUUGAUUUCACUAAACUAUUGAGUGCAAUCAUGAAAAUGAAACAGUAUGAUGUCACUUCCCUCUGCAAGAAAAUGGAAUUGCUUGGGAUUUCACAUAAUAUCUACUCUUUGAGUGUUCUAAUCAACUGUUUUUGCCACUCUCGUCAAGUGUUUUUGGGCUUAUCUGUUGUGGGAAAAAUCUUGAAACUCGGCUACAAGUCUAAUGUAGUCACCUACACUACCCUAGCUCAUGGUUUGUGUAUCCACGGAAAGUUUUCAGCGGCUGUAAACGUGGUUGACCAAAUGGUGAAAGAGAGAUACAAACCUAAUGUUGUAACAUUUAACACUUUGGUCAACGGACUUUGCUUUGAGGGUAGAGUUUCUAAAGCAUUGAAUUUAUUUGAUCAGAUGCUAAAGAUGGAUUGUCAACCCGAUGUAGUUACAUUUGGCAUUAUUAUAAACGGGGUCUGUGAGGCAAGAGAUUAUGCAUUGGCUAUGAAUCUACUCGAGAAGAUGGAGGAAAUGCAUAUUGAGAUCAAUAUCGUAAUUUAUAGUACGAUUAUGGAUUAUCUUUGCUAAGCCAGACACGUGGAGGAUGCGUUGAACCUUUUCGGAAAGAUGAAUAAUUGUUGGAUUGUACCAGAUGUUGUUACUUAUAAUUGUUUGAUAAAUGGCCUUUCCAGGAUUGGUAGAUGGAAUGAUGUUGACCGAAUGUUGAGUGAGAUGGUGAAAAUGAAAAUCACUCCUAAUGUUGUCACUUUCAGUGGAUUAAUCGAUGCACUCUUUGAAGAGAAAAAGUUUAUGGAGGCUGAAGAAUUGUACGGGGAGAUGAUCCAGAGAGGUUUAGUUCCGAAUACUAUUGGUUACACUUCAUUGAUCAAUGGUUUUUGCCUAAAGAAUCGCCUUGACGAAGCAAAACAAAUGUUCAAUUCUAUGAUCACCAAGGGAUGUUUUCCAAAUGUACUAACUUUUACUUUUAUGAUAAAUGGUUACUGCAAGGCUAAUAGGAUCGAUGAGGGUAUUAACCUCUUUUAUGAGAUGUCUCGAAGUGGAUUGGUUACUAAUGCAGUUACUUACAACAUCCUCAUCCAAGGGUUUUACCGAGUAGGCAACCUUGGUGUUGCCCAAAAGUUUUUCAUAGAGAUGCAGUAUAAGGGUCAUCAUCCUAAUCUUGUGACUUACAGUAUUUUGCUUGAUGGACUUUAUAAGAAUGGAAAAACGGAUAAGGCACUUUGCCUAUAUAUCUCUCCAUAGUGGCAUGAUGUAUGGUUUGUGCAAGGUUGAGAGGGUUGACGAAGCAUUGAUAUUAUUCAAUACGCUUCUUGGCAAAGGGGUGAAACCGAAUGUUAUCAUGUAUAAUAUAAUGAUCUCCGGACUUUGCGGAAAAAAUUCACUCUAUGAUGUCGAGAAGAUAAUUGGGAAGAUGAAAGAGGUUGGUUGUUUUCCCGAUGAAGGUACGUAUAACUUAUUGAUCAGGGCUUGUCUUAGAAGUCGCUUUCCAUCGAUAGUUAUCGAGCUGAUACGAGAAAUGCGGAGCAAUGGCUUUUCUAUGCAUGCAUCAAGCUCAAAUAUGAUAAGGGAUAUGGUAUAUGAAGGUAGAUUGGAAAAGGGGUUUUUGGAUCUCCUCUCUUAGUAGAUGUAAGUACUAAACGGCUAGCAUUGCAUGAUUGUUUGUUUGAUGAGAAGAACAAGAAGCUUCAAGCUAUCCAGUUUCAGCAGUGGCAAUCCCCCUGGAAAACAUGGGUCGACCGGCACGGGCCCCGAAACAUAUUUGACAUCUGUAGAGAGUCUCAAGCCCUGAAACCGAACCUGGACUACUCGGUGAAACCAAGAGAAUCGAAACAGAGGAAUAGUGUUUGGGUUUCAAUGUAUCGUUCAGAACAUCCUCUCGUUUUUCCCCCAUCAAAGACGCAAUCAAAUUGAGCCUCGUCUCAGAAAGCUUCAGAAACUCAUGGCUCUUCGGUCGGACAUCGGACAUCACGACGAACUUCAAAAAACGAUACAGCGGCUCGAGGGCAUGGAGCAGAGGCUGCGGCAAAUGAUGUAUUGAGGAACCAAUCUGGUAACACUGUUUGUUUAGCAAUGGGCGUUCAAUGGAAGUGGAGGCUGAAGCAAGAAGGGGCUGUCGAGAAUCAGAAUACGGCUUCUCCUGAUGGACAGUUAGUGAAAUAUCAGCCUCCAAUGCACGAGCAAGGUCGAGUAGAAGCAAAAUGGAUGGGACAGAGCCAAACAUAUGGACAAGCUGACCGAACAGGCAAGAGCCAUGAUCCUUGGAUGUUCCAAGUGUUUUGAGGUAAGAACGAUGCUGCCCCUGGAGCUUCUGUUAAUGGAGAUGUUAAUGGAGAUGAUGAGUUAGAGGCAACAGACAAGGAAGGAGACAAACCAGAAUCUCAGGCGUUCAACUCUCUUAACGUGAUAACAGAGAUCAAGCAAGUUUCAUUUCCUGUAUAGAACAAUAUUCACUUACCAAUUUCUUCCUCUUCUGUAACGUUAGUAUUGUAACUUUCCAUUCUACACAUUGAUAAUAUUUGUAGUAUAUAUGAUGUACAGAUUCAUCUUACGAAAAUAAGAAAUACAGGGCAUUCUUCUUCAUC
RNA transcript from Tarenaya hassleriana, 3169 nucleotides. RefSeq lists it as uncharacterized. The transcript is spliced from 8 exons. Lineage: Eukaryota; Viridiplantae; Streptophyta; Magnoliopsida; Brassicales; Cleomaceae. The record is from RefSeq and is a predicted model, not a curated record.